GUGCCAGCAGCCGCGGUAAGACAGAGGGUGCAAACGUUGUUCGGAAUUACUGGGCGUAAAGCGCGUGUAGGCGGCAAUACAAGUCGGAUGUGAAAUCCCGCGGCUUAACCGUGGAAGUGCACCCGAAACUGUAUCGCUAGAGUCCCGGAGAGGAUGGUGGAAUACUUGGUGUAGAGGUGAAAUUCGUAGAUAUCAAGUGGAACACCGGUGGCGAAGGCGGCCAUCUGGACGGUGACUGACGCUGAGACGCGAAAGCGUGGGUAGCAAACAGGAUUAGAAACCCGCGUAGUCC
Molecule: ribosomal RNA, 292 nt
Filed under: uncultured bacterium
Lineage: Bacteria
Description: partial 16S ribosomal RNA
Rfam family: Bacterial small subunit ribosomal RNA
Source: RNAcentral